ACCACUGCUUAUUCAGUGGUAGACUCAGUGGAAGACAAAACUUACCUUGUACUCGCUGUGAGCUCCCACACAUUAAGGGUCCACUAGAAUUCUGUGAUCAUGAGAUAUGAAUGCUAUAUGAAAAUGGCAUGUUAAGGAACAGCAGAGGAGAUGCAUAUUGUGUGUAUCUCCACUGUUCAUGCGCAUGCACCAUUGGACUUCAUUUACAGAACAUGAGUUCAAAGAUAAGAUGAUUAAGAAUUUUAAAACAGCAACAGCAAACAUUAAACCCCAAUUGUGGGGCCCUUCUGAACAAAGAUCACACACCCUGAAGCUGGUCCUAUGGGUGGAGAAUGGAGCAUGAACAUUUUGGCUCAGCUCAUCAUGAAGAAUGUCCAUGUGACUUUGGUUAAUAAAAUUGACUAACAAUAUCCAGAUGGUGGGGUCUCCAUCAGACUAGGUUCCUGAGUGAGAAAAAUGUGAAACACAACCCCCCACCUUCCCACCUACCUGGAGUGGACAUGCAGUAAAAGCAGAAAAUAAACUUUUUUUGGUAAAGAUUAGGGGGUUAUUUGCUAUUGCCUAAAUUAGUACAGUGUUAUUACUGCUUUUGUUCUCAGGAAUGUAGCAUUUAAAAUAAUACCACAGCUUUAAAUUAUCCUUAGAAUAACCAUAAAACAUAUAUUUUAAAAAACAAAAUCUGUAACUUUUU
This 691-nucleotide long non-coding RNA is filed under the name Homo sapiens (human). RNAcentral's name for it is "HSALNT0302407". The record is from RNAcentral. Lineage: Eukaryota; Metazoa; Chordata; Mammalia; Primates; Hominidae.